This 497-nucleotide ribosomal RNA is filed under the name uncultured bacterium. RNAcentral describes it as "partial 16S ribosomal RNA". It matches the Rfam family "Bacterial small subunit ribosomal RNA", at positions 28 to 507 of the family's 1533-position model. The record is from RNAcentral.
GAUGAACGCUGGCGGCGUGCCUAAUACAUGCAAGUCGAGCGAACAGACGAGGAGCUUGCUCCUCUGACGUUAGCGGCGGACGGGUGAGUAACACGUGGAUAACCUACCUAUAAGACUGGGAUAAUUUCGGGAAACCGGAGCUAAUACCGGAUAAUAUAUUGAACCGCAUGGUUCAAUAGUGAAAGACGGUUUUGCUGUCACUUAUAGAUGGAUCCGCGCCGCAUUAGCUAGUUGGUAAGGUAACGGCUUACCAAGGCAACGAUGCGUAGCCGACCUGAGAGGGUGAUCGACCACACUGGAACUGAGACACGGUCCAGACUCCUACGGGAGGCAGCAGUAGGGAAUCUUCCGCAAUGGGCGAAAGCCUGACGGAGCAACGCCGCGUGAGUGAUGAAGGUCUUCGGAUCGUAAAACUCUGUUAUUAGGGAAGAACAAAUGUGUAAGUAACUAUGCACGUCUUGACGGUACCUAAUCAGAAAGCCACGGCUAACUACGUG